UACGAAGGGUGCUAGCGUUGUUCGGAAUCACUGGGCGUAAAGCGCGCGUAGGCGGCUUUACAAGUCAGGGGUGAAAUCCCAGAGCUUAACUCUGGAAUUGCCUUUGAAACUGUAAAGCUAGAGUAUUGGAGGGGAUAGCGGAAUUCCUAAUGUAGAGGUGAAAUUCGUAGAUAUUAGGAGGAACACCGGUGGCGAAGGCGGCUAUCUGGACAAUAACUGACGCUCUGGCGCGAAAGCGUGGGGAUCAAACAGG
Molecule: ribosomal RNA, 253 nt
Filed under: uncultured bacterium
Lineage: Bacteria
Description: partial 16S ribosomal RNA
Rfam family: Bacterial small subunit ribosomal RNA
Source: RNAcentral